Molecule: ribosomal RNA, 496 nt
Filed under: Melandrya barbata
Lineage: Eukaryota; Metazoa; Arthropoda; Insecta; Coleoptera; Melandryidae
Description: partial 16S ribosomal RNA
Rfam family: Archaeal large subunit ribosomal RNA
Source: RNAcentral
UUUAAAGUCUAACCUGCCCAAUGAAAAUUUUAAUGGCCGCAGUAUUUUGACUGUGCAAAGGUAGCAUAAUCAAUAGUUUCUUAAUUAGAAGCUGGAAUGAAAGGUUUGAUGAAAAAAAAGCUGUCUCAUUUUUAAUGUUUUAAAAUUUUAUUUUUAAGUUAAAAAGCUUAAAUAGAUUAAAAAGACGAGAAGACCCUAUAGAGUUUUAUAAAUAUUUGUUUUAAUUAUUUAAAGAUAUAAUUUUUAAAAAAAAUAAAUUUUUAUUUUAUUGGGGUGAUAUAAAAAUUAAAAUAACUUUUUAUUUAUUUUAACAUUUAUAAAUGAAUUCAAUGAUCCUAUUUUUAGAUUAUAAGAAAAAAUUACCUUAGGGAUAACAGCGUUAUUUUUUUUUAGAGUUCAAAUUAAAAAAAAAGUUUGCGACCUCGAUGUUGGAUUAAAAUUAAAUUUAGGUGUAGAAGCUUGAAAUUUAGGUCUGUUCGACCUUUAAAAUUUUACA